RNAcentral lists this ribosomal RNA (254 nucleotides) under uncultured bacterium. Its description in RNAcentral is "partial 16S ribosomal RNA". It matches the Rfam family "Bacterial small subunit ribosomal RNA", at positions 524 to 776 of the family's 1533-position model. The record is from RNAcentral.
UACGUAGGGACCAAGCGUUGUUCGGAUUUACUGGGCGUAAAGGGCGCGUAGGCGGCGUGGUAAGUCACUUGUGAAAUCUCUGAGCUUAACUCAGAACGGUCAAGUGAUACUGCUGUGCUAGAGUGCGGUAGGGGCAAUCGGAAUUCUCGGUGUAGCGGUGAAAUGCGUAGAUAUCGAGAGGAACACCUGAGGUGAAGACGGGUUGCUGGGCCGACACUGACGCUGAGUGCGCGAAAGCGUGGGGAGCAAACGGG